RNAcentral lists this long non-coding RNA (4853 nucleotides) under Triticum aestivum (bread wheat). RNAcentral describes it as "long non-coding RNA (TAES_LNC018170)". Lineage: Eukaryota; Viridiplantae; Streptophyta; Magnoliopsida; Poales; Poaceae. The record is from RNAcentral.
CCUUCCCCCGCUCUCCCUCUCCCGUUACAGAAGCCGCCCGACGCCACCAUCGCCACCACCUCGUCGAUCCGGUGGCCACCGGCCUCCCCUCGUCGCGCCAAGGCGUCCAGGAGCUUCUCCAUCGUCGUCUCCUUCGCCUACGUGCUCUGAAUCGAGCCGGGACGCCCGUACGCUCGCCAUCGAGCUCAUCUCCGUCGCGUACAUCGCCGAUGUUCGUCGUCGUUGCCGCGGCUCCGGUUCACCUCCGGCCUCCCCGACCUCGCCAUCGCGCUUGCGGUGAGCCCCUCCUCCGAUUCCCGGCCUUUUGCCCUUCGAUCGGUGCCUUUUUACGCCGCCGAUGUUGCUGCCGUUACUUGCUUGCUGUUGCUAACCUCGUCCGUGCGCCUCGACCCGCGGCCGCCCGUGCGUGUGCCCGCCGCGGCAUGGCCGCGUCCGCCUGCGCUGCUGCCGCUCCUUGCACUGCUGCAGCUUGCUCCUGCUGCUGGCUGCUUCUCCUGCCGCUGCGCCGCCGCCGCUGCCUCUUGCUACAGACGCACCCACCGCAGCCGCUCGUACACACAUGCGCACCUGCUCGCCGUCCUCGUGCGUGCCAUGGCUAGCAAUGGCCGCAUGGCCGCAUGUGCCCUGUGUGUGCGUGUAUGCACAGCCAUGGGAACGGCUUGUGCCACCGCACAUGGGGCCGGCCAGAUUAGUUUAGCACUAAUCAGGCUAACUACCUCCCUAUGACAUGUGGAGCCCUCACCACUAAUUAAUCUAAUAUACUAGGAUACUUUAGUUACUGACUGUGACAUGUGGGACCUUCCCAUUAAUCAACCAGUUUAUUUAGCCUUUAAAUAAAUAUUGAGACAAUGACACAUGGGACCCACUUACACUGUUCUAUACUAGUAAAUGUGCCCGUGCGUUGAGAAAAAUAUCUCAGUUUUAUAAUUAAGUUUAGUGGCUCAACAUCCAAGCUCUAGAUCAAUACUUAGCAUUAAUUUCUCUAAUCCAUAUACCUAGACAAUCGGCAACAUGGACUUAAAUAUAUGUCCGUGCGUUGCAACGGUGAUAUAAAUAUUCUAAUGGCGCUAUCAAGACGAAUAGCACAGAAGAAUUUUGAUUUGAAAUGUUGCCAUGACUACUUCUGUGUUGCAAAUUUUCCUUGCCUUAUACCCCAGGUCACCCUAAAUCAUUAUACAUAAAUAUAUGGAUGUGCCAAAAAAUAGGUUAAGCUAACUACAAUACUUACAAUACAAUAGUUAUGAAAUUCUUACACAGGGAGGAAGCAUGCAAACAAUGGCUAUCCUACAUCGCAAGUAUUUCUUGUAGAAUAUCCAGCAUUUUCCAGACUGAGCUCCUAUUGAUUUCAGACAAGCCAGAUAGCCCUUCUUCUCCUGUUUGAAAAGGCAGCUCUCAUAAAUAUAACAAGACGAAUACAACUAACCAGGAUGUACUUGUUUGCUUGUGCAAGUGACUGAGAGGAAAUACACCUUUUUUUAAGGAGCUAUGGGUCUCCCCUAUUUCCAACAAACGCCCCACCUAUUAGAAGUAACAAGGUUAUUCGAAGGUUGUAAGUUAGUCACAGGGUAGAAAACUGGCAACACAGGAAUGGAAACCAAUAUUCUUUUGUCGGUUGUCUGAAGCUAACAAAUUAGAAUUGUCCACACCUGCACUCCCAAGAACGUCAGGAUUCAGACUGCCAUGCCGCCGCUUGCAAUGCCCAAAUGCUGCAGGUUUCACAGGGCACAUCCAAUUGCUGCAGCCUGAGUGUGAGAUGGCCAACAAUAUGUUCCGGCCAUCCAAGACAAGCAGUGUGGUAUCCUCGCUCAAGCACACCAUCAAACCUCCAAAACUGCUCCCUGGUGCCAUAAUCACAUAUUGCAGGCUUUCAGUCAUAUAUGGAUUGCAAAUUUCUUCCAGCUGGUAUAACAUGCAAUCUUACUAUAUGUAUUAUCACUAAUGCACACCUUCAACCAAAUAACUACAGAGAUGUAGAGUGGAACCAUAUAGUACCUGUGAACGCGACGGCGAUUUUUUUGCUGGAACUAUUCUUUUUUUUGCUGGGACCGGCCAAACUUUUUGCUGCGACCCAGCUACGGCGAGUCAUUAUUUUUGCUGGAACCUACGAGUUUUAUUGCUGGAAACAUACAUUUGUUUUGUUAGAAGAAAAUAUAAAUAGAGCAUUAACUAACAGCAAGGCUAUUGGAUCUUGACACCAAAAUAGUCAAGAUCUUAGUUAAUUAAAAAAUAGUAAGAUCUUUAGUACAUGAUACCACUGAACAUGCGCAAGAUUCUUACAAAGUUUAACCAAGAAAGAAUAAUAUAAUAAAAGCACUUGAUCAAGACAGUUGCAACUCCUGUACCAAAUUUCUGUGAAGCUCUUCUAGCUGGUAUAAUAUGAAAACUUACUAUUUAUAUUAACACAGCCAACCACUAAUGUACACAUUCAGACAUGUAAAGUGGAACCAUAUAGCAUUGGUCUCAAGCACUAAUGCACACCUUCAGCCAGUUAAGUACAGAGACGGUAGAGUGGAACUAUAUAGCAUUGGUCUCAAGCACUAAUGCGCACCUUCAGCCAGUUAAGUACAGAGACGGUAGAGUGGAACUAUAUAGCACUGAUCUCAAGCACUAAUGCGCACCUUCAGCCAAUUAAGUACAGAGAUAUAGAGUGGAACUAUAUAGCACUGGUCUCAAGCACUAAUGCGCACCUUCAGCUAAGUAAGUACAAAGAUGUAGAGUGGAACCAUAUGGCACUGUUCUUACCAAGAUUAACAAAAAAGAGUCUUGUUCUCAGUGGCGGAGCUUGAAUGGAAAAGCUGGGCGGGCCAGACUAAAAGGAGAGCACAAUUUUUUUUGAAAUUCUGAAAGCUUUUUUAUUCUUCGCGCUUCUAAAAUCUGUGAUGACAUUAUCGUGGUUGUUGUUUUUUUCAAUUCGAGCAAUGGCAACAUGAUCUUUCUCAAUUUGAGUUAUGUCAUUUCUUUUCCUGUUAAAAACCAUAUCAAUUCUUCUCUUGAGUCUGAUUUUCUUUGCCCAUUACUACCUACGUUGCAAUUUGUAUAAGAUGAGGACUGCAUUAUGUGCCAAAGAUCAUGUUGCUUUUUUAAUAGCAUGUUUAACAACCUGCAUCUUAUUCCGACUAUGCACAUAACUCAAAUUGUACAUGUUGCCAAAGAACAUGUUAAUUUUUUCAGUUCAUUGCAUGUCAUGCAGACUCAAAUCAGGACUGCAUUUUGCGCCAACAAACAUGCAUAAGAUGUACUCAACUGAAAAAAAGAACAGGCUAAUUUGGGGGAAAGAUAGUAGUGUACGUUCUGCUGUGUAUGUGCAGCUAUGCAGUGGGCACUUGCGCCAGCAGUGGGUUGAGCUGGAGAGAGGACGGGGGGAUGAGCUGCCUGCCUGAGAGGAGAUGUGUCGCCUGAGAGGAGAUGUGUCGCCUGGUUAAUAGGCUCUGCAGGUGGGUUGGGUGGGAACAUGCAUAGGUAAAAAAAAACUGUCAUAUUCCUGGGCGGGCCAUGGCCCGGUCUGGCCCCAACAAAGCUCCGCCCCUGCUUGUUCUGUUCAUCAAAUUUAAUAGGUUUUGAAAACUGAAAAAGGCUUUUCCAUUAAGCGAAAACCAUAGGUAAAUAAUUGUUCAUGCACCUUGCCAAUUAGCACAAAUAGAGAUGUAAAUUAUCUCAGACAGUUAGAACACCCAAAAUUAUUUAACCAAUGCCCGUGCAUACAAUACCAUGAACAAUGCAUUACCUCUCUGCCUUCACCAUGAUAUUAGUUUACCUUUUUUUAUAUUUUUUCUGUUGUAUAGUAGCUAUUCUAACUUGAUAAAAAUUAAGUACAUCCAACCACUGUGUACACCUUGAGACAACUCCCAGUGUGCCCUUUUCUUAUAUUUUUCAAUACAAGAUAAAUAUAUUUUUAUUAAGUUUAGUGUAGAGGCCUUCAUGACAGGGGUGACAGUCGGCAAUCAGACAAUUCCAGUGCCAUCCCAUCAGUCAUGAAAAUUGCUUACUAAAUUAUUGCCAAACCUUGCGUAUUUUCUGAAACAAUUUUUAACGUUGCAAAUUGGACACUUCAGAUCCAAGAUUUGAUGUACUUGUUCCAAAUGGUGCUAGCUAACCACCUUCAUACUCUGGAAAAGUUGUCCAUUUUUUGCACACCGACACAUUAGUACAAUUAGCAAGCUGCAACUUAAAAUUAUGCACUGGUUCCCACUAACUCCACUCCAAUCUAUACACCAUACAGCUGGCACAUACCAAUUACAAUGUCAAUGGAAAGGAACCGUGCAAUUACAGUUUUGAAAGUUUUUUGCAAUCCUGGUUACUAAACACGAAUUUCUUUUUUUUGACAGAAAGACUGUAAGGAAAUCUCCUACAGUAUAAUUGAUGCAACAAACCCAAAUUGCAAAUACCAUGCCUUGAACCUGGGUGGGUGGGAAGGCAUCAACCCCUUCCCACCACUAGGCUAUGCCUUAGUCUGCCUAAACACGAAUUUCUUGGGCACAUUAUUAAAUUUGCAGGAGAGAACUUCAAGACAACACAAAACUAUAUGAUGUACAGAGUAUGUACUUAUGAAGGAAAAAACAGAGCAUGUGGAUUAAAAUUUGAUGUUCUGUUUCACAUGUACCCCAAAGACCAAAUGCUCUGCAGUUAAUUACUGAAUGUCUAUUCUGCAAUGAACUACUAACCCGUGCUCAAUGUUCUGCUGUUAACUUCUAACAUGUGACCUGUAAUCCAAUAUUACUGCUCCAGAUCCGUAGUAAACUCAUGUUCAGUAUCAACCUCCAGAUCCAUAGCAACCAUCUAUAGGCCGCAUCCUCCUCAUUCCCAUGUUCAUCGUCUCUGUUACAAAGAAACAUCAUCUCGAUGUAGAAUCAUAG